Molecule: long non-coding RNA, 1413 nt
Filed under: Gallus gallus (chicken)
Lineage: Eukaryota; Metazoa; Chordata; Aves; Galliformes; Phasianidae
Description: lncRNA (ENSGALG00010000212.1)
Source: RNAcentral
AAUCUCCCCCCAAAUUUGGGUUUUAUUUCACCCAAAAUCCACAUCACAGCUUUGCACAGCGCUGUAGGAUCUCAUGGUUGUAUGGUCUUUAAAACCCAACCCUUGUGGGAUCCCACAUUGCCACGAUCCUAAAGGUCCUCCCACCCCAACCCUUGUAGGAUGCCGUGGUGUUAUGAUCUUCAAGGUCCCUUCCACCCCAACCAUUGUAGGAUCUUGUGGUUCCACGAUCCUACAGGUCCUCUCCAUCCCAAACGCUGUAGGAUCCCACAGUUCUGUGGUCUUUGAGAUCCCUAAAACCCAACCCUUGUGGGAUCCCAGGCAGCCACGAUCCUAAAGGUCCCCUCCACCCCAACCCUUGUAGGAUCAGGUGGUGUUAUGAUCUUUAAGGUCCCUUCCACCCCGACCAUUAUAGGAUCCCGUGGUUCCACGAUCCUACAGGUCCUCUCCAUCCCAACCGUUGUAGGAUCCUACAGUUCUGUGGUCUUUGAGAUCCCUACAACCCUAACCUUGUGGGAUCCCACGCAGCCACGGUCCUAAAGGUCCUCUCCACCCCAACCUUUGUAGGAUCCCGUGGUGUUAUGAUCUUUAAGGUCCCCUCCACCCCAACCAUUUUAGGAUCCCGUGGUUCCAUGAUCCUAAAUAUUCCUCCCAACCCAACCACUGUAGGACCUCAUGGUUGUAUGGUCUUUAAAACCCAAACCUUGUGGGAUCCCACAGUGCCAUGAUCCUAAGGGUCUUCCCAUCCCAAUCCUUUUAGGAUCCUGUGGUGUUGCGGUCUUCAAGGUCCCUUCCACCCCAACCAUUUUAGGAUCCCGUGGUUCCACGAUCCUAAAGGUCCUCCCACCGCAACCCUUUUAGGAUCACAUGGUUCCAUAAUCCUAAAGGUCCUCCCACCCCAACCAUUGUAGGAUCCCAUGGUUCCAUGAUCCUAAAGAUUCCUCCCAACCCAACCACUGUAGGAUCUCAUGGUUGUAUGGUCUUUAAAACCCAAACCUUGUGGGAUCCCACAGUGCCAUGAUCCUAAAGGUCCUCUCCACCCCAACCAUUGUAGGAUCCCGUGGUUCCAUGAUCCUAAAGGUCCUCCCAUCCCAACCCUUGUAGGAUCCUGUGGUGUUAUGGUCUUUGAGAUUCCUUCCACCCCAACCCUUGUGGGAUCUCAUGGUUCCAUGAUCCUAAAGGUCCUCUCCAUCCCAACCUUUGUAGGAUCCCGUGGUGUUAUCAUCUUUAAGGUCCCUUCCACCCCAACCAUUUUAGGAUCCCGUGGUUUCACGAUCCUAAAAAUUCCUUCCAACCCAACCACUGUAGGAUCUCAUGGUUGUAUGGUCUUUAAAACCCAAACCUUUUGGGAUUCCACAGUGCCAUGAUCCUAAAGGUCCUCCCAUCCCAACCCUUGUAGGAUACCGUGGUUUUAUG